Molecule: ribosomal RNA, 465 nt
Filed under: uncultured bacterium
Lineage: Bacteria
Description: partial 16S ribosomal RNA
Rfam family: Bacterial small subunit ribosomal RNA
Source: RNAcentral
GAUGAACGCUGGCGGCGUGCUUAACACAUGCAAGUCGAACGGAAAGGCUCCUGCUUGCAGCGGUACUCGAGUGGCGAACGGGUGAGUAACACGUGGGUGAUCUGCCCUGCACUUCGGGAUAAGCCUGGGAAACUGGGUCUAAUACCGGAUAGGACGAUGGUUUGGAUGCCAUUGUGGAAAGUUUUUCGGUGUGGGAUGAGCUUGCGGCCUAUCAGCUUGUUGGUGGGGUAAUGGCCUACCAAGGCGUCGACGGGUAGCCGGCCUGAGAGGGUGUACGGCCACAUUGGGACUGAGAUACGGCCCAGACUCCUACGGGAGGCAGCAGUGGGGAAUAUUGCACAAUAGGCGCAAGCCUGAUGCAGCGACGCCGCGUGGGGGAUGACGGCCUUCGGGUUGUAAACUCCUUUCGCUAGGGACGAAGCGCAAGUGACGGUACCUGGAGAAGAAGCACCGGCUAACUACGUG